Molecule: long non-coding RNA, 1155 nt
Filed under: Phasianus colchicus (ring-necked pheasant)
Lineage: Eukaryota; Metazoa; Chordata; Aves; Galliformes; Phasianidae
Description: lncRNA (ENSPCLG00000013811.1)
Source: RNAcentral
GGGAGAUUUGAAAAGCGUGCGCGCCUCGCGCCGCUGCGGCGAGCCCCGCCGCCCCCUUUCUUCCCUCCCUCCCCCCCGGCCGCGGCCCGGGCCCGGAGCGGGGAGCGGCCGAGCCCCCCGGGCGGCGCGGCGCGGCACAAUGGCAGCGGCCGCGGUGGUUGCGGGCGGGGGCCGUGCCCCGGCGGCCCGAGGCCCGGCCGGGAAAGUUUGUGGCGUGCCCGGCGCGGCGCGGGGGGGAGCUGGCGGCGCCAGAACAAAGCGGCACAUGGGGCAGAGGCCGCGGCGGCUCGGGGGCUCCGUUCGCCGCCCACGCCCAGCUCGGGAACGGCAGCGGCGGUAACGCGGGAGGUGGAGGCGGCGGGGAGGGGCCGGGGGGGGCUUCUCGGGGAGUUCCCGGCGGAGGCGCUUUGUGCUCCGCCGCCCCCCGGGGGAGGGGGCGCGGGGCCCCGGGGAGGGGGGCAGCGCCGCGGGCUGCGAGCGCGUCCCGGGCCCCUCCGCGUGGGCUUUUGUUCGCAGAGGGGCGGGGGCGGCGGGCCCUCCUCUUCCUCCCCUCCUCCGGGCCGCGCUCCUCGGCGGCGUGGGAGAGCGGGCGGUGGGGCGCGGGCUCCCGCCUCCCCCGGGCGGGCGAGAGAGGGGCCGCGGGAGGGCCCCGCGCUGCCCGGGAGCCGCGGGCUUCGUUACGAAAUCGGCGCGGCGGCAGCUGCGGGGCCUCGGCGGCGCCAUGUUGCUGGGGAGGGGGAGGAGGCGGGGGACAUGGCGGCGGCUGCGUGCUGGGGCCGAUUGUUCCCUGUUAGGCCCGGAGCCGCGUGUGGGCAGCGGCGGCCCGGGGAGCCGCUUCCCCUCCCCCUGCCGCGGCCCCUUCCCAUCCGGGCGGCCCUCGGGAGCGGGCGGGCCCGGCCCCUUCCCCUCCGCUUGGGCCGCGGGGCUCGGCGGGCCCGGUCUGGCGGUGGGGGGCGGGGGGCGGCACGCCGUAGCCGGGCUGUGACCUCCGCGGCGCUGCUGGCGGCGCCCCCUGGCGGACGCGCGGGGCGCGGCCGCCUGUGUUCUCGCAGGAACACGUGCUGCGCCGUGAGGGGCGCGGGCCCGGCCGGGAAGGGGCCUGCGGCACAUGGCCCGCGGCCGCGGCCUCCCCGCGCCUCCCGUGGGCCGCGCUAG